Molecule: ribosomal RNA, 488 nt
Filed under: uncultured bacterium
Lineage: Bacteria
Description: partial 16S ribosomal RNA
Rfam family: Bacterial small subunit ribosomal RNA
Source: RNAcentral
GAUGAACGCUAGCGGCAGGCUUAAUACAUGCAAGUCGUGGGGCAGCAGGACUGUAGCAAUACAGUUGCUGGCGACCGGCAAACGGGUGCGGAACACGUACGCAACUUACCCUGAACUGGGGGAUAGCCCGGGGAAACCCGGAUUAAUACCCCGUAAUAUAAUGGAGUGGCAUCACUUUAUUAUUAAAGCUCCGGCGGUUCGGGAUGGGCGUGCGGCUGCUUAGGUAGUUGGUUGAGGUAACGGCUCACCAAGCCUACGAUCAGUAACUGGUGUGAGAGCACGACCAGUCAAACGGGGACUGGGACACGGGCCCGACGCGUACGGGAGGCAGCAGUAAGGAAGAUUGGGCAAUGGAGGCAACUCUGACCCAGCCAUGCCGCGUGGAGGAUGAAGGCCCUCUGGGUUGAAACUUCUUUUAUAGGGGACGAAACCUGUGUACUCUUACGCAGUUGACGGUACCCUAGGAAUAAGCACCGGCUAACUCCGUG